AACGAACGCUGGCGGCGCGCCUAACACAUGCAAGUCGAACGAGAAACCCUCCGCAAGGGGGGGCGGUACAGUGGCGAACGGGUGAGUAACGCAUGGGUAAUCUGCCGAAGAGUGGGGGAUAACCUUCCGAAAGGAGGGCUAAUACCGCAUAAGACCACGUCCCGAUGGGGAUGGGGUCAAAAGUGGCCUCUGCACGCAAGCUAUUGCUCUUCGAUGAGCCCAUGUCCCAUCAGCAGUUGGCGGGGUAACGGCCCACCAAGGCGACGACGGGUAGCUGGUCUGAGAGGACGACCAGCCACACUGGCACUGAGACACGGGCCAGACUCCUACGGGAGGCAGCAGUGAGGAAUCUUGCACAAUGGGCGAAAGCCUGAUGCAGCGACGCCGCGUGA
Molecule: ribosomal RNA, 392 nt
Filed under: uncultured bacterium
Lineage: Bacteria
Description: bacterial SSU rRNA
Rfam family: Bacterial small subunit ribosomal RNA
Source: RNAcentral